AGUGACCCAAAGAAGAAAUAACUGGUGAUGGCAAACAUCGGAGUGAACAAUAUCAAAAGGAUACUGACUCUUAUGUUCAAUAGAAGCAAGACUUAAUCUAGACAUUUUUCCUAGAAAACAUGAAGAACAAGGAGAAACUUUAGAAGUGGAAGCUGGUAAUUUAAAAGUAGACACAAUUUUGUGAACACAUCGAGGAUGAGGAUGAGGAUGACCCAGCUUGAGUGCCAAUCGUCCACUAUCAUCUUUUCAACAGCCAUAGCAUGCUUCAGUAGUGGACCAAUUAUGUACACUCCAUUUUCACUUAGUCCCAGAAGAAGAAUCUGCUUAGUGGUUUAAUCCCUGAAAAGAAAAAAAUCAGGCCAAAAUUCAAAGAAAUAGGAAUUGUCGGAGGUGAAUUUUUGAACAUAUAAGAGAUUUUUUAUUAUUGAUGGAGCAUGAAGAACAUUUGUUAGUUUAAUUGGUCCAUUGAUUGAAGGAAUAGAUGUGAUACGAGUGUGGUGAAUUGGUACGCCAUUGCCAUCGCCAACAUGUAGGUGAUCAUGUCCUUUGUACUCCUGCGUGAGACUCAGAUUGGAGAGGUCUAGUGUAAUAUGAUAAUUUGCCGUAGUGUUUGAAAACCAUGGAAGGGAUGUUUCAGUAGUAAGAGAGCUAUAACAGUGAUAAUUUGCUUAAGGGGAGAAGUUCGGUCUGUCAGCAUUAGUUGAGGAAUAUCUUCUACGGCAUUUGCCAGCAGUGUGAUUCCUAAGACCACAUAUUUGACAAGGUCCUCUUGGACGAAAAGAUCUAUUGACAUUGCUAUAUUGCCUUGGAGCAGGAGAACGAGGUGGAGUGGGUAACAGUCCAGCUGCAGUAUUAGUAGGAGAUUGUUGCCGUAACACUAUAUUGGCAAUGGGAAGCUCCAGUGAACUUUUAAUGAGAACCUCGUGAGCAACAAGAUGUCCAUAUAAUUCAAAAAAGGUGAUCGAUUCCGAUCGAAGAUUCAGAGCUAUGAUUAUUGGAUGAUAUUUGCUGCCAAUAUUCCGAUAGAUAAUGGCAUUGAAUUCAGCACUUGAAAGGGGUGACCUGCAGAUUCUAAUUCGUCAGCAAGAGAUUUAGGACGAUGAAGAUAGUUAGCAACAGGCAUAUUAUUCCUUUUGAGUUCCUAAAGCUCAAUGUGAAUUUGCAAUUGUCUAUUCUGAGAAAUCGACCCAAAAGCAUUUGACAAUGCAUGCCAGACUUCAUAUGAAGAUUUCAAGCCAACAACAUAGGGAAAUAUCUCCUCGCUAAGUGAAGAGAGAAUCUAUGAUAGAAGCAUUUGGUCUUUUUGAAAGCAAGUAUCAAACUUAGAAUUGGAAACAGGAUCAGGAGCAGGAGGAAGAUAAUUUUUUUGGGGGGAGGCGCAGCUAAGCCAUCAACGAAUUUCUGAAGUUUAAGAUAGUUCAACAAAGGAAUGAACUAGGUUUUCCAAGCUAAAUAGUUCCUAGUGGUAAGCUUGAUAGCAAACGUGUGAUCGGCAAAAGAUGGAGUUGAGGAGAUAGAAAUGGUGGGGCUAGUGACGGAAGAAUUAAUUCCAUUUGUUGAGUUGCUCAUUUUGAUAUCAAGGAGGCUCUAAUACUAUGUAGAGAUUCAGAGUAUGGGAAAAUUUUGUAUUGCUGUAUAUUGAUAUGCUAUAUACAAGACACUAUAUAUAGAGAUUAAAAGAAACAGAAUAUUGUGAUAUUGACUGAGUAAAAGAUACAAAGU
This 1722-nucleotide unclassified non-coding RNA is filed under the name Hevea brasiliensis (rubber tree). Lineage: Eukaryota; Viridiplantae; Streptophyta; Magnoliopsida; Malpighiales; Euphorbiaceae. The record is from RNAcentral.